Molecule: transfer RNA, 19 nt
Filed under: Gymnogeophagus setequedas
Lineage: Eukaryota; Metazoa; Chordata; Actinopteri; Cichliformes; Cichlidae
Description: partial tRNA-Thr
Source: RNAcentral
UUAAAAUCCCUCCUACCGC